Molecule: ribosomal RNA, 496 nt
Filed under: uncultured bacterium
Lineage: Bacteria
Description: partial 16S ribosomal RNA
Rfam family: Bacterial small subunit ribosomal RNA
Source: RNAcentral
AUGAAUGCUGGCGGCGUGCCUAAUACAUGCAAGUCGAGCGAACGGACGAUAAGCUUGCCUCUCUGAUGUUAUCGGCGUACGGUUGUGUAACACGUGUAUAACCUACCUAUAAGGCUGGUAUAACUUCGGGAAACCGGAUCUAAUUCCUGGUCAUAUUUUGAACCGCCUGGUUCAAAAGUGAAAGACUUUCUUUCUGUCACUUAUUGAUGUAUCCGCGGUACAUUAGAUAGUUGGUAAUGUAACUUCUUACAAAUGCAACGAUGCAUAGCUGAAAUGAGAGGUUGAUCAGACAAGAUGGAGUGGAGAGACAGUACAGAGAACUACGGGAGGCAGCAGUAGGGAAUCUUCAGCAAUGGGCGAAAGCAUGACGGAGAAACGCCGCGUGAAUGAGGAAGAUCAUCGGAUAGUAAAACACUGUUAGUAGGGAAGAAAAUAUGUGUAAGUAAAUGUGCACAUCUUGACGGUACAUAAUCAGAAAGCCACGGCUAACUACGCG